RNAcentral lists this ribosomal RNA (253 nucleotides) under uncultured bacterium. RNAcentral describes it as "partial 16S ribosomal RNA". It matches the Rfam family "Bacterial small subunit ribosomal RNA", at positions 524 to 776 of the family's 1533-position model. The record is from RNAcentral.
UACAGAGGUCCCAAGCGUUGUUCGGAUUCACUGGGCGUAAAGGGUGCGUAGGCGGUCGGGUAAGUCUGAUGUGAAAUCUCACAGCUUAACUGUGAAACUGCAUUGGAUACUAUCCGGCUCGAGGAAUGGAGGGGAGACUGGAAUACUUGGUGUAGCAGUGAAAUGCGUAGAUAUCAAGUGGAACACCAGUGGCGAAGGCGAGUCUAUGGACAUUUCCUGACGCUGAGGCACGAAAGCCAGGGGAGCAAACGGG